Molecule: ribosomal RNA, 480 nt
Filed under: uncultured bacterium
Lineage: Bacteria
Description: partial 16S ribosomal RNA
Rfam family: Bacterial small subunit ribosomal RNA
Source: RNAcentral
GACGAACGCUGGCGGCGUGCUUAACACAUGCAAGUCGAACGAUGAAGAAAAGAAUCGAAGCUUCGGCAGAAAUUCAUUUCGGAUUAGUGGCAGACGGGUGAGUAACGCGUGAGCAACCUACCUCUUACAAAGGGAUAGCCUCGGGAAACCGGGAUUAAUACCAUAUAACAUUGCGACGAAGCAUUUCGAUGCAAUCAAAGCUACGGCGGUAAGAGAUGGGCUCGCGUCCCAUUAACCGGAUGGUGAGGUAACGGCUCACCAUAGUGACGAUGGGUAACCGGCCUGAGAGGGUGAACGGUCACACUGGAACUGAGACACGGUCCAGACUCCUACGGGAGGCAGCAGUGGGGAAUAUUGCACAAUGGAGGGAAGUCUGAUGCAGCGACGCCGCGUGAGUGAUGAAGGAAUUCGUUUCGUAAAACUCUGUUAUAUGGGAAGAAAAGGACUGUACCAUAGGAGAAAGCUCCGGCUAAAUACGUG